Molecule: ribosomal RNA, 559 nt
Filed under: uncultured Actinobacillus sp.
Lineage: Bacteria; Pseudomonadati; Pseudomonadota; Gammaproteobacteria; Pasteurellales; Pasteurellaceae
Description: bacterial SSU rRNA
Rfam family: Bacterial small subunit ribosomal RNA
Source: RNAcentral
CGGACGGGUGAGUAAUGCUUGGGAAUCUGGCUUAUGGAGGGGGAUAACUACGGGAAACUGUAGCUAAUACCGCGUAAUAUCUUCGGAUUAAAGGGUGGGACUUUCGGGCCACCUGCCAUAAGAUGAGCCCAAGUGGGAUUAGGUAGUUGGUGGGGUAAAGGCCUACCAAGCCGACGAUCUCUAGCUGGUCUGAGAGGAUGACCAGCCACACUGGAACUGAGACACGGUCCAGACUCCUACGGGAGGCAGCAGUGGGGAAUAUUGCACAAUGGGGGGAACCCUGAUGCAGCCAUGCCGCGUGAAUGAAGAAGGCCUUCGGGUUGUAAAGUUCUUUCGGUGAUGAGGAAGGUGUUUGUUUUAAUAGAACAAGCAAUUGACGUUAGUCACAGAAGAAGCACCGGCUAACUCCGUGCCAGCAGCCGCGGUAAUACGGAGGGUGCGAGCGUUAAUCGGAAUGACUGGGCGUAAAGGGCACGCAGGCGGUGACUUAAGUGAGAUGUGAAAGCCCCGGGCUUAACCUGGGAAUUGCAUUUCAUACUGGGUCGCUAGAGUAUUUUAG